GACGAACGCUGGCGGCGUGCUUAACACAUGCAAGUCGAACGGAAAGGCCUUUUCGGUGGUACUCGAGUGGCGAACGGGUGCGUAACACGUGGGUGAUCUGCCCUGCCCUCUGGGAUAAGCCUGGGAAACUGGGUCUAAUACCGGAUAGGACCGCACUUUAGUGUGUGUGGUGGCAAGUGUUUUCGGUGUGGGUUGAGCCCGCGGGCUAUCAGCUUGUUCGGGGGGUAAUGGGUUACCAAGGCGCGGGCGGGUAGCGGGACUGAGGGUUUGGUCGGCCACAUUGGGUCCGAGGGGAGGCCCAGACAGCGACGGGAGGGAGCAGGGGGGAAGAUUGAACGAUGGGCGCAGGGCUGGUGCAGCGGCGCCGCGGGGGGGAUGACGGCCUUCGGGUUGUAAACUCCUUUUGCCAGGGACGAAGCGUUUUGUGACGGUACCUGGAGAAGAAGCACCGGCUAACUACGUG
RNAcentral lists this ribosomal RNA (463 nucleotides) under uncultured bacterium. RNAcentral describes it as "partial 16S ribosomal RNA". It matches the Rfam family "Bacterial small subunit ribosomal RNA", at positions 28 to 507 of the family's 1533-position model. The record is from RNAcentral.